RNAcentral lists this ribosomal RNA (327 nucleotides) under Triticum aestivum (bread wheat). RNAcentral describes it as "partial small subunit ribosomal RNA". The record is from RNAcentral. Lineage: Eukaryota; Viridiplantae; Streptophyta; Magnoliopsida; Poales; Poaceae.
AUGAGAAGAAGCAAAACCAUGAUCCUAGUAGCCAUGGCUGCUUUGCAAAUGUGUGGUAGUUCCUCCAAUAUCUCAAUGUACAAAUCUCAUAGGCAUAACAAAGUUAAUCCAAUAUCUCAAUGUACAUCGAACGUCCAAAUAUCACAAAACCUGCAGCAAAUCAGCGGCCGCGCACGAGCAACUAGCUCACCUCCCCUCGCGCCGCCUCCCCCUGGGCGACGCCAGGGGUCCCUCAACCCUAGCACCGGGGGCAAGUUUCUGCUGACGAGAGAAGACCCAGGGGCAAGUGGUUAUUUUCUUGUCUUUUAUAAUGACACCUCUAAUUAA